RNAcentral lists this unclassified non-coding RNA (339 nucleotides) under soil metagenome. Its description in RNAcentral is "partial contains 5.8S ribosomal RNA, internal transcribed spacer 2, and large subunit ribosomal RNA". The stretch from base 1 to 120 matches the Rfam family "5.8S ribosomal RNA", at positions 35 to 154 of the family's 154-position model. The record is from RNAcentral.
GAUGAAGAACGCAGCGAAAUGCGAUACGUAGUGUGAAUUGCAGAAUUCAGUGAAUCAUCGAAUCUUUGAACGCACAUUGCACCUCUCGGUAUUCCGGGAGGUAUGCCUGUUCGAGCGUCAUUUGUACCCUCAAGCUCUGCUUGGUGUUGGGUGUUUGUUCCGCCUCUGUGUGUGAACUCGCCUCAAAACAAUUGGCAGCCGGCGUACUUGUUUCGGAGCGCAGCACAUUUUGCGAUCCAGAUCAACGUACAGCGGCAUCCAAGAAGCCUUAUUUAACGCUCUUGACCUCGGAUCAGGUAGGGAUACCCGCUGAACUUAAGCACAUCAAUAAGCGGAGGA